Molecule: ribosomal RNA, 479 nt
Filed under: Acinetobacter schindleri
Lineage: Bacteria; Pseudomonadati; Pseudomonadota; Gammaproteobacteria; Moraxellales; Moraxellaceae
Description: bacterial SSU rRNA
Rfam family: Bacterial small subunit ribosomal RNA
Source: RNAcentral
CCUGUCCUUGACAUACUAAGAACUUUCCAGAGAUGGAUUGGUGCCUUCGGGAACUUAGAUACAGGUGCUGCAUGGCUGUCGUCAGCUCGUGUCGUGAGAUGUUGGGUUAAGUCCCGCAACGAGCGCACCCCUUUUCCUUAUUUGCCAGCGGGUAAUCCCGGGAACUUUAAGGAUACUGCCAGUGACAAACUGGAGGAAGGCGGGGAUGACGUCAAGUCAUCAUGGCCCUUACGGCCAGGGCUACACACGUGCUACAAUGGUCGGUACAAAGGGUUGCUACCUCGCGAGAGGAUGCUAAUCUCAAAAAGCCGAUUGUAGUCCGGAUCGCAGUCUGCAACUCGACUGCGUGAAGUCGGAAUCGCUAGUAAUCGCGGAUCAGAAUGCCGCGGUGAAUACGUUCCCGGGCCUUGUACACACCGCCCGUCACACCAUGGGAGUUUGUUGCACCAGAAGUAGGUAGUCUAACCGCAAGGAGGACG